UAUCAUGUUUAGUGAGCACACUAGAGAACUAGAACUCUUAGUUCUGAUAUUUACUGUGACAUCACACUUUGUUGUUUAUUCUGUGUCCCCUAAACUCUGGAACCAAAAUAAAAUCCGAGAUCACAGGCACAGAACAAAUACAGAAGUGGCAACUUUCUAGAUGGGCAAAAACACAACACAAGGGUUGGUCACUGAAGCAGAUACUCCUGGAGAUGCUGGCUACAAAACGCAGAAGAAUCCCACUGGACAUUCACAUCGGAAGCUGCCAACCAUGUUGAUGCACACUCCAUUUUCACAGACCCCUGGGAUCUCCCGGCACUCAUCAAUAUCUAGAGACAGAGUAGUCAUUCGUGAGUGACAGGACAGCACAUGACCCCUGUGCAGGGAACAGCUACGCGACCUAAUGGCCAAUGGAUCUUACUAUUUUAUUUAACUCCAGAGCUCUGAUAUAAAAAGUGCUGUCUGUAAAUACAUGCACAUAGCUCUAGUGUCAAAUGAUGAAUCUUUUCUAUUAAGUGGCCUAGUCUUCAAAAAAGAAUUGCUAGCCUGUGAAAUGUGGAAUGCCUUGCUUCUCUGACUAGUGUCGACACGUUUGUUUCUAGCGUGAACACACCUGUACAAGUGAAGCCAUCGCCUGUGUAUCCUUCCUUGCACAGACAGCGGUCAAGAAGAACAACUUUGCCAUACAAAACACUGCAAGAAUUUCCAGUGAACACUUGAAUAGUGGCGUGAAAAAGAAACUGGGUCAAGAAAAAACCUUCAACUUGGAUCCAAAAUAAACGAUGACAAGUUUCAAA
This is a non-coding RNA of Macaca mulatta (Rhesus monkey), 797 nucleotides long. NCBI's taxonomy places the organism in Eukaryota, Metazoa, Chordata, Mammalia, Primates, Cercopithecidae. The record is from RefSeq and is a predicted model, not a curated record.